CAGCCGCCGCGGGAAUACGAAGGGGGCUAGCGUUGCUCGGAAUUACUGGGCGUAAAGCGUGCGUAGGCGGUUUGUUAAGUCUGCUGUGAAAUCCCCGGGCUCAACCUGGGAAUGGCAGUGGAUACUGGCAAGCUAGAGUGUGUCAGAGGAUGGUGGAAUUCCCGGUGUAGCUGUGAAAUGCGUAGAGAUCGGGAGGAACACCAGUGGCGAAGGCGGCUACCUGGACAGAUACUGACGCUGAGGCGCGAGAGCGUGGGGAGCAAACAGGAUUAGAUACCCCCGUAGUCCCUGUCUCUUAUAC
RNAcentral lists this ribosomal RNA (301 nucleotides) under uncultured bacterium. RNAcentral describes it as "partial 16S ribosomal RNA". It matches the Rfam family "Bacterial small subunit ribosomal RNA", at positions 509 to 807 of the family's 1533-position model. The record is from RNAcentral.